RNAcentral lists this transfer RNA (66 nucleotides) under Creophilus maxillosus. RNAcentral's name for it is "tRNA-Ser". Lineage: Eukaryota; Metazoa; Arthropoda; Insecta; Coleoptera; Staphylinidae. The record is from RNAcentral.
GAAAUAGGUAAAUCAAGAAUAAGCUUCUAACUUAAUUCUUUAGCAUUGUAAUAUGUUACUAUUUCU